Molecule: ribosomal RNA, 265 nt
Filed under: uncultured bacterium
Lineage: Bacteria
Description: partial 16S ribosomal RNA
Rfam family: Bacterial small subunit ribosomal RNA
Source: RNAcentral
UAAACAAAGGGAAGCGAGCCUGUGAAGGGGAGCAAAUCCCAAAAAUAACGUCCCAGUUCGGAUUGUAGUCUGCAACCCGACUACAUGAAGCUGGAAUCGCUAGUAAUCGCGGAUCAGAAUGCCGCGGUGAAUACGUUCCCGGGUCUUGUACACACCGCCCGUCACACCAUGGGAGUCGGAAAUGCCCGAAGUCUGUGACCUAACCGUAAGGAAGGAGCAGCCGAAGGCAGGUCGGAUGACUGGGGUGAAGUCGUAACAAGGUAUC